UUCGUAGGCGGUGCGGCAAGUCGGGAGUGAAAUCUCUGGGCUUAACCCAGAGGCUGCUUCCGAAACUGCUGUGCUUGAGUGUGGGAGAGGCGCGUGGAAUUGCAGGUGUAGCGGUGAAAUGCGUAGAUAUCUGCAGGAACACCCGUGGCGAAAGCGGCGCGCUGGACCACUACUGACGCUGAGUGAACGAAAGCUAGGGGAGCAAACA
RNAcentral lists this ribosomal RNA (208 nucleotides) under uncultured bacterium. Its description in RNAcentral is "partial 16S ribosomal RNA". It matches the Rfam family "Bacterial small subunit ribosomal RNA", at positions 568 to 774 of the family's 1533-position model. The record is from RNAcentral.